Molecule: long non-coding RNA, 723 nt
Organism: Brassica oleracea var. oleracea
Lineage: Eukaryota; Viridiplantae; Streptophyta; Magnoliopsida; Brassicales; Brassicaceae
Exons: 2
Source: RefSeq, a predicted model, not a curated record
UGUUGAAAGCUCCCUAUGGAGAUUUACAAUACAAGCCUCCCAAGGAUAUUCUUCAGGACAAUUUCUCCACUGCGUUUCAAACCUUCUCUCUCUAUCUUUUGGAGAAGAAAGAGAUUCAUCUUCUUCCUCUUCAAAUCUGAGAUUUGAUCUGAAAACCAGAUAACGAUGACAAUCUUGUGCAACAACGGCCGCAAAAGAGACAAGAGGAGAAGAAAAGAGAAAGAAAAGUUGAAAGAAGAGAAUCCUCAUCAAUGUUGUUGUUAUUGCGUGUUGCCUACGUUUUCAAUGGUCAGAGGAAUAAAGAGAUGUCUCUUCCUCUCGUGCUAUCCAUUUAUUCGUUGCUUAGGGUUUGAAGACAGAAGACAUCGUCACCAUCUUCAUAACCACAAUCAUUUUCUAUGAUUCUUCCCUCCUUACACUUCUUUUUUCUUUGUGUAUGUGUGAAGAUUAUUUAUUAAACAUCUUGAAAACACCUUGAUUUUCAGACAAAAAACAUGUAAACAAUCAAAUAAAGGAAUCAAGAUAUUGAAAUGUUUAUGGUUGGGGCUACAUAUAAUAUCUCUCAUGGUCAGAUUCUGCAGUUGAUGAGAUGACAUUUGAGUUUCUCAAUAUCAUAUAUAGUUUAAGAGACUAGAAACAAGUUAUCUAACGAGUUUAGGGUCAAAUAAGAUUAUCAUCAACGGCUAAAACAAGGUUUGGUGAUAGCUUAACAAAAAAAAAAAA